This 285-nucleotide ribosomal RNA is filed under the name Triticum aestivum (bread wheat). RNAcentral describes it as "partial small subunit ribosomal RNA". The record is from RNAcentral. Lineage: Eukaryota; Viridiplantae; Streptophyta; Magnoliopsida; Poales; Poaceae.
AUGGAUCUUGGUGAAACCGUAGGAAAAUUUUUGUUUUCUGCAACGUUCCCCAACACGCAUCGCCAAGGCCGAUCGCGGCUUCGAUUCCGAAAUGAAGGCCCUGCUAAACGUUCGGUCAUGCACUCCGUUAUUUCCUCGGCCACCCCCUCAAUUGUAUGCUUGCAAGAAACGAAGCUUUCUACCGUCUCGUCGUCCAUUGUCACCGAAGCUUGUGGGCAGGCCUUCCGCAGCUUCCACUUUCUCCCGUCCACAGAAACCCGAGGCGGCAUCCUCCUCGCAUGGCAG